CCCCUUUGGCCUCGACCUCGACGACCCUCGCAGCUCUGCGCGACCCCCUCCCUGCAACACAAGUAUGAUUUUUUUUUAAAAAAAUUAUUUUACAAUAAUAUUUAUAAUAAUUUUAUAAUUAAUAAUAUUUAAAGAGAACCCCCGUCGGUGGGUUCUGGGCCAUGCCUGCAAGUUUUGAAUCAUGCCGGUGGAUUUUGGAUCGUCGGUUCUGGACUGGA
This 218-nucleotide long non-coding RNA is filed under the name Elaeis guineensis (African oil palm). Its description in RNAcentral is "long non-coding RNA (EGUI_LNC069613)". The record is from RNAcentral. Lineage: Eukaryota; Viridiplantae; Streptophyta; Magnoliopsida; Arecales; Arecaceae.